Long non-coding RNA from Pleuronectes platessa (European plaice), 3144 nucleotides. RefSeq lists it as uncharacterized. The record is from RefSeq and is a predicted model, not a curated record. Lineage: Eukaryota; Metazoa; Chordata; Actinopteri; Pleuronectiformes; Pleuronectidae. The transcript has 2 exons.
CGAACAGUCCUGAGUAUAUUUAUUCACCUUUGUUUGCACAUGCAGGCAGGGACGGGACGCUUAGAAUAGUUUUACAGAUUUGAGACUAUGAGAGAUUUCGCUAUUGACAAAAACAAUCCCAAAGUCCGAUCAGUCGCUGUCGUCUUUUUGUUUGGAGAUGGAGUUUUACCAGGUGACCGAUGAAAUUGUAGGAAUUUGAUUUGAGACCAGAGUCAAGAAGGAACGUUCAAUUGUUAUUUUUAAGGCAACAAGGACCAGAAUUCCUUAAAGUGCUCAAAAGAAACAAAGACGUGAAUAUGUGAAAUGUCAAGAACAAAGUCUGAACUUCAUCUGCUGAGCGAGAUCCUGUGACGAUUGAAAGCUGUAGAACUGCGACUCAAAACAACUUGUGGUGAGGUUUCACCAGUUAAAUAUAUCUUUUUAAUGGCAUUACCAAUUACCACUGCUAAAGCGAUUAGUCAAUUAAUCAGUCAGUCAAUGACGGCUGGAUUAAUGAUGAAUCUGUUUAAGUCAUUGUCUCGCAAAAAAAAAAAAAAAAUGUUCCAUUUCUCAAAUUCUAUUAAAUAAGUUGGCUUUUGUUAUUUUUAUGUUAAGGAAUCUGGGAAAAAUUAAAACAGAUUUAUAACCUUAUUCAGAUCUGAUCCUAAUCGUGAGAAAUUUGGACUAAAGAAGUUUCAACUUUUGGAGGAGAAUCAGUGACUUGAUUGUAUCUUGUUUAAUAUAGCUCACAGAGAAAUUGUUCUCAUAUCGUUUAAAGUUCUUUUGCAGCUCCAACUGUACCUAAAUAGUGUAUUAUAAAAUAGAUAGAUAGAUAGACAGGUAGAUGGACGGAUGGAUAGAUAGACAGACAGACAGACAGGUACACAGACAGGAAGACAGGUAGAAAGAUAGAUGGACACACAGACAGACAGAUGUGUUUCAUUACUAUCAAAUAAAUGUCUUCCUUCGUGUUAGAACGAAUAAACUUAAAUCUAUAACUUAUUAUAUAUUUUUCAUCCGAUCCAUAGCAACACAUUGUCAGAUACCCCCUAACCUUGUUUCUCCUCCGGACCGAAGCGAGCUUCUCCGAGUGUUUCCGAAUCCGCAGAGCUCGGCAGCACUGCGGCUGCGUCACAGCGUCGCCGAACAGCUCAGGUUAACGACAAUAACGACGAAAAACUACCGUGAACUGCACGCGAUACCGGACUCCGGGAGGAGAAGAUGAACCGGGGACGCUGACCGGGAAAGCUCCGGUGUUUACUCUGCGGCUCCCACGGCACAGUCCGGUUAGCUUAGCGGGCUAACGCCGAGAACUCGUAGAUUAGCGCCGCUGCUUCCGAAGCUGCUCUGCGGGGUUCUGGUGCGUGACAGCGGUGCGGAGCCGCCACGAGCGGACUGCUAUGAGCGGGACGCGGCUCGGACUCACCGGUGUCAGCGGCUCUCGGGUCAACGUGUCCGGGAUUUCUGUCCUGUUUCUCCUCGGUGGAUUUCAGAGCUGAGCCACAUCACCAAACGCAUCCCGGAAGCAGAGCUGCCUCUGCGCUGAUUGGACGGAGCUGUCAACUGACAUCGAAGAAGGAAACAUGAAGAAGAAAGGACACGACCUGAGAGUGAAGCUGAUCGUCAACCAUGUCCGCCAGCUGGGCAGGAGCCUGAUGCUGCUCGCCCACUACGCCACGGUGUUUGUGGCCUUCUUUGGCCGCAGCGUGCAGUGGAUGGUGGAGGUGGUGAGGUGGACCAGCCUGUUUGCACGAUACACCGUGUCCGCGUUCGAUUCCAUCUACAGACUUGUGCACGGGGGCAAGAGGAGCAGCGUGGCCGCGGGGACCAGAGAGAUCUGCCCGGGCGCCGACACGCAGCCACAGUGUGCAUCAUAACUUCAUAUCUGCAAACUGACAACCACCAGUGGAGACUGGGUCCACGUUUGGAAACCAAUGGGGAAAAAAACGCACGAUGAAAGAGAAAAAUGAGGCCUUACUGAAGUGUGAAACUUUUAACUUUUUUUAAGUGUUUAUAACAUAACUAUUUGUAACAUAGUCUUACCAGUCUUAUACAUUUUUAUAUUUGUGUUAUCGUCAGCAAAAGCUCUUUCAAAAUGUUGGAAAACAUUUCAAGCUUUUUGUUAGAUGAAGUCACUCAUCCCUCGUACCCGUUGACAUGACAGGGUAACCCGAACCAGAAUUAAGUAAAACACUACGGAAGCAUAAUUUAUACCAUUUCCCAGUUAUCACACUAGAUAUAACACUACAUGAACUCAGUAAAGUACAAACCACUACCGAGUGGCGACACUCCUCAUGAAACCACAUUUAAAGCCACUAAAUCCAGUUUGUUUAUUUGUACAGCCCUAAAGAUGUCUGAUAUUUUCAACCAGAUCCAUUUAUUAUUCUCUGAGAAAUCAAAGAAAAUUAAAAAACCCAGUAUCUCUAAAUGUUAGAGAAAGUGAGAAAAUAUAUCAUUCCUGGAUUUGCGCCCUAAACCAGAUUCAGACCAGAAUGUAUGAGGUUCUUCCCUGACCCAUAUCACAUCUUUCCUCAAGGUUUUGUGGAAAUCUAUCCAGUACUUUUUGUGCCAUCUUGAUCACAAACAAACAGUCAGGGGUGAAAACAGCCAAAUGUAUUUUUCAACCUGUGCCUGUGAUGUUCAUACAUGAUUUAAUAUGAAUAUGUAGAUUUUUUGGGCAUCUUUUAUUCUGACAUGCCUGAAAAGACGCAUGCUGCUUUAUCUGUGAUUGACAUAAAUUCGAAUGUGUUCCGACGUCAGUGUGAGAAAUGGCAUGUUGCUUUAAAUUGACCCGCAGCUGCAUUUACUAAUGUAAAGUUUUUCAUUUUUACUUUUGUAUUGAUCAUUGUAUUUUAAAUGUAAGUGCAUUCAGAAUGCCACUAAAGCACUGACAUGAAUAUUCUGGUUUUACUUCACAAUUUCAGCUGCUGAAAUCAACAAACAGAAAUUCAAACAUAUGUCAAGAUUGUUAUACCAAAGGAAUCCUGUGCAAGAAGUGAAAUUUAAUUUCAUAUAUUUUCUCGUAUUCACCCUGAGACUAAAGGAAAUGUCUGCAUCAUUUUGUAUAUGUUCCCAAAAUGCAAGCUGUAAUCUUUGUUCAGUUAUUGUAAUAAUCAGCCAUAACUGGUUUCAUACUCUAAUAUCCAAAUAAAUUUCUCUACCAGA